GAUGAACGCUGGCGGUAUGCCUAACACAUGCAAGUCGUACGAGAGUUUUUAACUCUAGUGGCGGACGGGUGAGUAACACGUGAGAAUUUGCCUUUAGGAGGGGGAUAACAAUUGGAAACGAAUGCUAAUACCCCAUAUGCUUUUGAGUGAAACGGAUUUAUCCGCCUAGAGAGAAGCUCGCGGCUGAUUAGCUUGUUGGUAAGGUAAGAGCUUACCAAGGCGACGAUCAGUAUCUGGUUUGAGAGGACGAUCAGACACACUGGGACUGAGACACGGCCCAGACUCCUACGGGAGGCAGCAGUGGGGAAUAUUGGACAAUGGGCGAAAGCCUGAUCCAGCAAUGCCGCGUGAGUGAUGAAGGCCUUAGGGUUGUAAACCUCUUUUAGCAGGGAAGAAGCGAAAGUGACGGUACCUGCAGAAAAAGCACCGGCUAACUACGUG
This 441-nucleotide ribosomal RNA is filed under the name uncultured bacterium. RNAcentral's name for it is "bacterial SSU rRNA". It matches the Rfam family "Bacterial small subunit ribosomal RNA", at positions 28 to 507 of the family's 1533-position model. The record is from RNAcentral.